GUGUUAUUCAUGUUUAACAGGUUUAAAGGGUACCUAGACGGUUAAUUAAACACUGUAAUGUAUUAAUUAACUAGAGUUUGAUAUAAGAAGGAUUGAGUACGGUGAGUGUAGAGAUAAAAUUCUAUUAGACCACUAUGGAACUGGUAAAGGCGAAGGCAACCUUCUAUGUAAAAACUGACGUUAAGGGACGAAGGCUCGUUAUAAAAAACAGGAUUAGAUACCCUGGUAUUUUGGGCAGACAAUGAUGAGUGUCAUAUGCAAGAUAAAAUUUUGUGUAUAAAUGAAAGUGUAAGCAUUCCACCUCAAGAGUAACAUGGCAACAUGGGAACUGAAAUCAUUAGACCGUUUCUGAAACUCGUAGUGAAGUAUGUUGUUUAAUUUGAUGAUCCACAAAUAACCUUACCACAACUUGAAUUACUUUAGUUUACUGAAGUAACAAGCGUUGCACGGCUGUCUCCAGUCAAUGUUGUGAAACUGUGGUUAGAUCCAUUGAAUUGACGUAAACCCUCACUCCACUUAUUGUGGAGUGGUUCGCCGCUAUAUUGGUAGUGAUAUAUGGGACUAAGACAAGUCAUC
RNAcentral lists this ribosomal RNA (576 nucleotides) under Thelotrema aff. adjectum RivasPlata 1094B. Its description in RNAcentral is "SSU rRNA". It matches the Rfam family "Bacterial small subunit ribosomal RNA", at positions 538 to 1194 of the family's 1533-position model. The record is from RNAcentral. Lineage: Eukaryota; Fungi; Ascomycota; Lecanoromycetes; Ostropales; Graphidaceae.